AGCUCCAAUAGCGUAUAUUUAAGUUGUUGCGGUUAAAAAGCUCGUAGUCGUAUUUUUGGCGCAAAUACUGGUCCGCCCUUUGAGGGUGUGAAUCGGUGUUUGCGCCUUCUUCGUUGUACGGGACACGCUUCUGGGCUUAGUUGACCGGAACGUGCACUGUACGGGGUCACUUUGAGUAAAUUAGAGUGUUUAAAGCAGGCAUGCGCUCUGCAUAUUCCAUCGGUCUGCGGUACCGGGGUAAUGAUCGAUAGAGACGAUCGGGGACGUUCCUAUUUCGUUGUCAGAGGUGAAAUUCUUGGAUUUACGAAAGAGGAUCAACUGCGAAAGCAUCCGUCAAGGGGGUCCUCG
This 348-nucleotide ribosomal RNA is filed under the name uncultured eukaryote. RNAcentral describes it as "SSU rRNA". It matches the Rfam family "Eukaryotic small subunit ribosomal RNA", at positions 587 to 972 of the family's 1831-position model. The record is from RNAcentral.